UAAGUUGGUAGUGAAAGCGUGGGGCUCAACCCCAUAAACAUUAUCAAACUAACAAAGCUAGAGGAUGAGAGAGGUUAUUGGAAUUCCCAGUGUAGGAGUGAAAUCCGUAGAUAUUGGGAGGAACACCGAUGGCGUAGGCAGAUAACUGGCUCAUUCCUGACACUAAGGCACGAAAGCGUGGGUAGCAAACGGAUUAGAUACCCCGGUAGUCCACGCCGUAAACUAUGGAUACUA
RNAcentral lists this ribosomal RNA (234 nucleotides) under uncultured Candidatus Saccharibacteria bacterium. RNAcentral describes it as "partial 16S ribosomal RNA". It matches the Rfam family "Bacterial small subunit ribosomal RNA", at positions 584 to 818 of the family's 1533-position model. The record is from RNAcentral. Lineage: Bacteria; Candidatus Saccharimonadota.